AGCACGGACUUCGGUCUGGUGGCGAGUGGCGAACGGGUGAGUAAUAUACCGGAACGUAUCCAAUAAUGGGGGAUAACUAAUCGAAAGGUUGGCUAAUACCGCAUACGCCCUACGGGGGAAAGCUAGGGACCUUCGGGCCUGGCGUUAAUGGAGCGGCCGAUAUCUGAUUAGCUAGUUGGUGGGGUAAAGGCUCACCAAGGCGACGAUCAGUAGCUGGUCUGAGAGGACGACCAGCCACACUGGAACUGAGACACGGUCCAGACUCCUACGGGAGGCAGCAGUGGGGAAUUUUGGACAAUGGGCGCAAGCCUGAUCCAGCCAUUCCGCGUGAGUGAAGAAGGCCUUCGGGUUGUAAAGCUCUUUCGCAAGGGAAGAAAACUUAUCCUCUAACAUAGGAUGAGGUUGACGGUACCUUGAUAAGAAGCACCGGCUAACUACGUGCCAGCAGCCGCGGUAAUACGUAGGGUGCGAGCGUUAAUCGGAAUUACUGGGCGUAAAGCGUGCGCAGGCGGUUUUGAAAGUCAGAUGUGAAAUCCCCGAGCUCAACUUGGGAACUGCGUUUGAAACUCCAAAACUCGAAUAUGUCAGAGGGGGGUAGAAUUCCACGUGUAGCAGUGAAAUGCGUAGAGAUGUGGAGGAAUACCAAUGGCGAAGGCAGCCCCCUGGGAUAAUAUUGACGCUCAUGCACGAAAGCGUGGGGAGCAAACAGGAUUAGAUACCCUGGUAGUCCACGCCCUAAACGAUGUCUACUAGUUGUUGGUGGAGUAAAAUCCAUGAGUAACGCAGCUAACGCGUGAAGUA
Molecule: ribosomal RNA, 801 nt
Filed under: uncultured bacterium
Lineage: Bacteria
Description: bacterial SSU rRNA
Rfam family: Bacterial small subunit ribosomal RNA
Source: RNAcentral